GCGGGCGUAGUUCAAUGGUAGAACGAGAGCUUCCCAAGCUCUAUACGAGGGUUCGUACUUCCCUUCGCCCGCUCCA
This 76-nucleotide transfer RNA is filed under the name Escherichia sp. E3659. Its description in RNAcentral is "tRNA-Gly". It matches the Rfam family "tRNA". Rfam says of the family: Transfer RNA (tRNA) molecules are approximately 80 nucleotides in length. Their secondary structure includes four short double-helical elements and three loops (D, anti-codon, and T loops). Further hydrogen bonds mediate the characteristic L-shaped molecular structure. tRNAs have two regions of fundamental functional importance: the anti-codon, which is responsible for specific mRNA codon recognition, and the 3' end, to which the tRNAs corresponding amino acid is attached (by aminoacyl-tRNA synthetases). tRNAs cope with the degeneracy of the genetic code in two manners: having more than one tRNA (with a specific anti-codon) for a particular amino acid; and 'wobble' base-pairing, i.e. permitting non-standard base-pairing at the 3rd anti-codon position. The record is from RNAcentral. Lineage: Bacteria; Pseudomonadati; Pseudomonadota; Gammaproteobacteria; Enterobacterales; Enterobacteriaceae.